This 73-nucleotide transfer RNA is filed under the name Harpegnathos saltator (Jerdon's jumping ant). It matches the Rfam family "tRNA". Rfam says of the family: Transfer RNA (tRNA) molecules are approximately 80 nucleotides in length. Their secondary structure includes four short double-helical elements and three loops (D, anti-codon, and T loops). Further hydrogen bonds mediate the characteristic L-shaped molecular structure. tRNAs have two regions of fundamental functional importance: the anti-codon, which is responsible for specific mRNA codon recognition, and the 3' end, to which the tRNAs corresponding amino acid is attached (by aminoacyl-tRNA synthetases). tRNAs cope with the degeneracy of the genetic code in two manners: having more than one tRNA (with a specific anti-codon) for a particular amino acid; and 'wobble' base-pairing, i.e. permitting non-standard base-pairing at the 3rd anti-codon position. Lineage: Eukaryota; Metazoa; Arthropoda; Insecta; Hymenoptera; Formicidae. The record is from Rfam by way of RNAcentral.
CGUCAAGUAGCUCAGUUGUUUAGAGCAGUCGCCUGGCAAGCGAAAGACCCGGGUUCAAUUCCCAGUCUAGCGG